RNAcentral lists this ribosomal RNA (500 nucleotides) under uncultured bacterium. Its description in RNAcentral is "partial 16S ribosomal RNA". It matches the Rfam family "Bacterial small subunit ribosomal RNA", at positions 30 to 523 of the family's 1533-position model. The record is from RNAcentral.
AUUGAACGCUGGCGGAAUGCUUUACACAUGCAAGUCGAACGGCAGCACGGACUUCGGUCUGGUGGCGAGUGGCGAACGGGGGAGUAAUGUAUCGGAACGUGCCCAGUCGUGGGGGAUAACGUAGUGAAAAUUACGCUAAUACCGCAUACGAUCUAUGGAUGAAAGCGGGGGAUCGCAAGACCUCGCGCGAUUGCAGCGGCCGAUAUCAGAUUAGGUAGUUAGUGGGGUAAAGGCCCACCAAGCCAACGAUCUGUAGCUGGUCUGAGAGGACGACCAGCCACACUGGAACUGAGACACGGUCCAGACUCCUACGGGAGGCAGCAGUGGGGAAUUUUGGACAAUGGGCGAAAGCCUGAUCCAGCCAUUCCGCGUGCAGGAUGAAGGCCCUCGGGUUGUAAACUGCUUUUGUACAGAACGAAAAGGUUUCUACUAAUACUAGGAGCUCAUGACGGUACUGUAAGAAUAAGCACCGGCUAACUACGUGCCAGCCGCCGCCGUAA